GUAGGGAAUCUUGCGCAAUGGGCGAAAGCCUGACGCAGCCAUGCCGCGUGAAUGAUGAAGGUCUUAGGAUUGUAAAAUUCUUUCACCGGGGACGAUAAUGACGGUACCCGGAGAAGAAGCCCCGGCUAACUUCGUGCCAGCAGCCGCGGUAAUACGAAGGGGGCUAGCGUUGCUCGGAAUUACUGGGCGUAAAGGGAGCGUAGGCGGAUAGUUUAGUCAGAGGUGAAAGCCCAGGGCUCAACCUUGGAAUUGCCUUUGAUACUGGCUAUCUUGAGUGUGGAAGAGGUAUGUGGAACUCCGAGUGUAGAGGUGAAAUUCGUAGAUAUUCGGAAGAACACCAGUGGCGAAGGCGACAUACUGGUCCAUUACUGACGCUGAGGCUCGAAAGCGUGGGGAGCAAACAGGAUUAGAAACCCUUGUAGUCC
Molecule: ribosomal RNA, 425 nt
Filed under: uncultured bacterium
Lineage: Bacteria
Description: partial 16S ribosomal RNA
Rfam family: Bacterial small subunit ribosomal RNA
Source: RNAcentral